This 512-nucleotide ribosomal RNA is filed under the name uncultured bacterium. RNAcentral's name for it is "partial 16S ribosomal RNA". It matches the Rfam family "Bacterial small subunit ribosomal RNA", at positions 28 to 523 of the family's 1533-position model. The record is from RNAcentral.
GACGAACGCUGGCGGCGUGCCUAAUACAUGCAAGUCGAGCGGAUCUUCAUUAGCUUGCUUUUGAAGAUCAGCGGCGAACGGGUGAGUAACACGUGGGCAACCUGCCUGUAAGACUGGGAUCACUUCGGGAAACCGGAGCUAAUACCGGAUAAUCCUUUUCCUCUCAUGGGGAAAAGCUGAAAGACGGUUUCGGCUGUCACUUACAGAUGGGCCCGCGGCGCAUUAGCUAGUUGGUGAGGUAACGGCUCACCAAGGCGACGAUGCGUAGCCGACCUGAGAGGGUGAUCGGCCACACUGGGACUGUGACACGGCCCAGACUCCUACGGGAGGCAGCAGUAGGGAAUCUUCCGCAAUGGACGAAAGUCUGACGGAGCAACGCCGCGUGAGCGAUGAAGGCCUUCGGGUCGUAAAGCUCUGUUGUCAGGGAAGAACAAGUACCGGAGUAACUGCCGGUACCUUGACGGUACCUGACCAGAAAGCCACGGCUAACUACGUGCCAGCCGCCGCAGUAA